This 387-nucleotide RNase P RNA is filed under the name bovine gut metagenome. RNAcentral describes it as "Bacterial RNase P class A". It matches the Rfam family "Bacterial RNase P class A". From Rfam's summary of the family: Ribonuclease P (RNase P) is a ubiquitous endoribonuclease, found in archaea, bacteria and eukarya as well as chloroplasts and mitochondria. Its best characterised activity is the generation of mature 5'-ends of tRNAs by cleaving the 5'-leader elements of precursor-tRNAs. The record is from RNAcentral.
GGACGGCCUGCCGCUGGCCUGCGCCCUUCGGGUGGCAGACGAGAGGAAAGUCCGGGCCACACAGGGCACUCCGCUACCUAACCGAUAGAAGUCCGUGAGGGCUUGCACGUGCAGAAGAAAACAACCGCCGCACUCGUGCGGUAAGGGUGAGAAGGUGGGGUAAGAGCCCACCAGGCGUAUGGCGACAUGCGUGCUGUGCACACCGGAGGCGGAAAGUUCGCGUAUACCAACGAAGCGUCGACUGCGUCCAUCAUGGGCGUAAGGGCGAGAAAGGGCGGCCCGUCCGAGUUGGAGGGUAGAACGAUAGAGGCGUCGCGAGAGCGGCGUCGUAGAUAAAUGGCAAGCACCCGCACUGCGGGUACAGAACCCGGCUUACAGAUCCACUGC